GACGAACGCUGGCGGCGUGCCUAAUACAUGCAAGUCGAGCGAACCCGGGGUGCUUGCACCCUGAGGGUUAGCGGCGGACGGGUGAGUAACACGUGGGGAACCUGCCUUGCUGUCUGGGAUAACACCGGGAAACCGGUGCUAAUACCGGAUGUCCCCUUUCCGGCACCUGCCGGAGAGGGAAAAGGCGGCUUUGAGCCGCCGCAGCAAGAGGGGCCCGCGGCGCAUUAGUUAGUUGGCAGGGUAACGGCCUCCCAAGGCGACGAUGCGUAGCCGACCUGAGAGGGUGAUCGGCCACACUGGGACUGAGACACGGCCCAGACUCCUACGGGAGGCAGCAGUAGGGAAUCAUCCGCAAUGGACGAAAGUCUGACGGUGCAACGCCGCGUGAGUGAUGAAGGUUUUCGGAUCGUAAAGCUCUGUUGUGAGGGAAGAAUAGGAUGGGGAGGAAAUGCCCGAUCUGUGACGGUACCUCACCAGAAAGCCCCGGCUAACUACGUGCCAGCCGCCGCCGUAA
This 514-nucleotide ribosomal RNA is filed under the name uncultured bacterium. RNAcentral's name for it is "partial 16S ribosomal RNA". It matches the Rfam family "Bacterial small subunit ribosomal RNA", at positions 28 to 523 of the family's 1533-position model. The record is from RNAcentral.